RNAcentral lists this ribosomal RNA (680 nucleotides) under uncultured Planctomycetota bacterium. RNAcentral describes it as "bacterial SSU rRNA". It matches the Rfam family "Bacterial small subunit ribosomal RNA", at positions 8 to 682 of the family's 1533-position model. Lineage: Bacteria; Pseudomonadati; Planctomycetota. The record is from RNAcentral.
AGAGUUUGAUCCUGGCUCAGAACGAACGCUGGCGGCGUGGCUAAAGCAUGCAAGUCGAACGGACCCCUUGAUGAGUAAUCUGAUUGGGAGUUAGUGGCGAACGGGUGAGGAAUAAAUGGAUAACGUGCCCCGAACUCUGGGAUAGCGGCGGAACUUCGGUUCCUUUGCGAAAGUGCCGGUAAUACCAGAUGAUCCCGUGCGGUCUCAUGAUCGUGCGGGCAAAGUUCAGGCGGUUUGGGAGCGGUCCAUUUCCUAUCAGCUUGUUGGUGGGGUAAAGGCCUACCAAGGCAACGACGGGUAUCGGGUGUGAGAGCACGACCCGACACAUCGGGACUGAGACACUGCCCGGACACCUACGGGUGGCUGCAGCAACGAAUAUUCCGCAAUGGGCGCAAGCCUGACGGAGCGACGCCGCGUGCAGGACGAAGUCUUUCGGGAUGUAAACUGCUGUCAGGGGCUAGAAAUAAAUUGAUCAGCCCCAAAGGAAGCAUCGGCUAACUCCGUGCCAGCAGCCGCGGUAAUACGGAGGAUGCGAGCGUUGUUCGGAAUCACUGGGCUUAAAGCGCAUGUAGGCGGAAUGUAAGGUGUCAUGUGAAAGCCCCCGGCUCAACCGGGGAAUUGCUAGGCAAACCGACAUUCUUGAGGCAAGUAGAGGCGACUGGAACCUUUGGUGGAGAGGU